GAUGAACGCUGGCGGCGUGCCUAAUACAUGCAAGUCGAGCGAACGGACGAGAAGCUUGCUUCUCUGAUGUUAGCGGCGGACGGGUGAGUAACACGUGGAUAACCUACCUAUCAGACUGGGAUAACUUCGGGACACCGGAGCUAAUACCGGAUGAUAUUUUGAACCGCAUGGUUCAAAAGUGAAAGACGGUCUUGCUGUCACUUAUAGAUGUAUCCGCGCUGCAUUAGCUAGUUGGUAAGGUAACGGCUUACCAAGGCAACGAUGCAUAGCCGACCUGAGAGGGGGAUCGGACACACUGGAACUGAGACACGGUCCAGACUCCGACGGGAGGCAGCAGUAGGGAAUCUUGCGAAAUGGGAGAAAGCAUGACGGAGCAACGCGGCGUGAGUGAUGAAGGUAUUCGGAUCGUAAAACUCUGGGAUUAGGGAAGAACAUAUGUGUAAGUAACUGUGCAAAACAUGACGGUACCUAAGCAGAAAGCCACGGCUAACUACGUG
This 497-nucleotide ribosomal RNA is filed under the name uncultured bacterium. RNAcentral describes it as "partial 16S ribosomal RNA". It matches the Rfam family "Bacterial small subunit ribosomal RNA", at positions 28 to 507 of the family's 1533-position model. The record is from RNAcentral.